This 386-nucleotide ribosomal RNA is filed under the name uncultured bacterium. Its description in RNAcentral is "bacterial SSU rRNA". It matches the Rfam family "Bacterial small subunit ribosomal RNA", at positions 29 to 417 of the family's 1533-position model. The record is from RNAcentral.
AUUGAACGCUGGCGGCAUGCCUUACACAUGCAAGUCGAACGGCAGCACGGGAGCAAUCCUGGUGGCGAGUGGCGAACGGGUGAGUAAUAUAUCGGAGCGUGCCCGGUCGUGGGGAUAACGUAGCGAAAGCUACGCUAAUACCGCAUACGAUCUACGGAUGAAAGCGGGGGAUCGCAAGACCUCGCGCGAUUGGAGCGGCCGAUAUCAGAUUAGGUAGUUGGUGAGGUAAAGGCUCACCAAGCCGACGAUCUGUAGCUGGUCUGAGAGGACGACCAGCCACACUGGGACUGAGACACGGCCCAGACUCCUACGGGAGGCAGCAGUGGGGAAUUUUGGACAAUGGGCGCAAGCCUGAUCCAGCAAUGCCGCGUGCAGGAUGAAGGCCU